GGACUACAGGGGUUUCUAAUCCUGUUCGCUCCCCACACUUUCGCUCCUCAGUGUCAGGUAAGGCCCAGAGAACCGCCUUCGCCACCGGUGUUCCUCCCGAUAUCUGCGCAUUUCACCGCUACACCGGGAAUUCCAUUCUCCCCUACCUACCUCUAGUCUGCCCGUAUCCACUGCAAGUCCAGGGUUAAGCCCUGGAUUUUCACAGCGGACGUAACAAACCACCUACGAGCUCUUUACGCCCAAUAAUUCCGGACAACGCUCGCGCCCUACGUGUUACCGCGGCUGCUGGCAC
Molecule: ribosomal RNA, 292 nt
Filed under: uncultured bacterium
Lineage: Bacteria
Description: partial 16S ribosomal RNA
Source: RNAcentral